Molecule: long non-coding RNA, 218 nt
Filed under: Musa acuminata (dwarf banana)
Lineage: Eukaryota; Viridiplantae; Streptophyta; Magnoliopsida; Zingiberales; Musaceae
Description: long non-coding RNA (MACU_LNC008534)
Source: RNAcentral
UACUCUUGUGUUCUCUUCCACAAUCUUUUAAGCAUUUCCGUGAUACUUUGAUUUAUGGAAAAGAAACAGUUUCGUAUCAAGAAAUUAAAUCUGCACUGAAAUCUAAGGAGCAGAUAGACAGGAAUAUCAUUGGGGAAAGUAGAGGGAAUCAGGCUGAAGGUCUGGUUGUUAGGGGGAGAAUAGAUAAAAGAGAAUUUGACAGUAGUAGAUCUAAAUCU